Molecule: long non-coding RNA, 273 nt
Organism: Photinus pyralis (common eastern firefly)
Lineage: Eukaryota; Metazoa; Arthropoda; Insecta; Coleoptera; Lampyridae
Exons: 2
Source: RefSeq, a predicted model, not a curated record
GUUAUCCUUAGUAAAGGUAGUUAGAAGUAUCUAAUUAGCAUUGUCUUAGAAGACUUGAUAACUCAAGAAUUAAUUGAUUUAAACAGCAACUUAUAUCUGCAGGCCGCCCGUUAUCUCAGGCCUGUUUAUUUUUCCGUUUUCUUUCCCAUUUUGGGAUUUCGCCUACUUUUGAUUUGGAAUCGUAUAUAAAGGAGUUCGUCCGAAAAUUAGACGUACCCUAUCACCGUUUCUACUUGAAGAUAAUUGCCCAGGAAAUGCCGCACGCCAAGAAGA